Molecule: ribosomal RNA, 253 nt
Filed under: uncultured bacterium
Lineage: Bacteria
Description: partial 16S ribosomal RNA
Rfam family: Bacterial small subunit ribosomal RNA
Source: RNAcentral
GACAGAGGGUGCAAACGUUGUUCGGAAUUACUGGGCGUAAAGCGCGUGUAGGCGGCUAAGUAAGUCGGGCGUGAAAUCCCACGGCUCAACCGUGGAAGUGCACUCGAAACUGCAUAGCUAGAGUCCUGGAGAGGAAGGUGGAAUGCUUGGUGUAGAGGUGAAAUUCGUAGAUAUCAAGCGGAACACCGGUGGCGAAGGCGGCCUUCUGGACAGUGACUGACGCUGAGACGCGAAAGCGUGGUGAGCAAACAGG